Molecule: ribosomal RNA, 481 nt
Filed under: uncultured bacterium
Lineage: Bacteria
Description: bacterial SSU rRNA
Rfam family: Bacterial small subunit ribosomal RNA
Source: RNAcentral
GACGAACGCUGGCGGCGUGCUUAACACAUGCAAGUCGAGCGGUAAGGCCCUUCGGGGUACACGAGCGGCGAACGGGUGAGUAACACGUGGGUAACCUGCCCUGUACUCUGGGAUAAGCCUUGGAAACGAGGUCUAAUACCGGAUACGACCAUUGAUCGCAUGAUCGGGGGUGGAAAGUUCCGGCGGUAUGGGAUGGACCCGCGGCCUAUCAGCUUGUUGGUGGGGUAAUGGCCUACCAAGGCGACGACGGGUAGCCGGCCUGAGAGGGUGACCGGCCACACUGGGACUGAGACACGGCCCAGACUCCUACGGGAGGCAGCAGUGGGGAAUAUUGCACAAUGGGCGAAAGCCUGAUGCAGCGACGCCGCGUGAGGGAUGACGGCCUUCGGGUUGUAAACCUCUUUCAGCAGGGACGAAGCGCAAGUGACGGUACCUGCAGAAGAAGCACCGGCUAACUACGUGCCAGCCGCCGCCGUAACAC